This is a long non-coding RNA of Balaenoptera acutorostrata (minke whale), 868 nucleotides long. RefSeq lists it as uncharacterized. The record is from RefSeq and is a predicted model, not a curated record. The transcript is spliced from 3 exons. NCBI's taxonomy places the organism in Eukaryota, Metazoa, Chordata, Mammalia, Artiodactyla, Balaenopteridae.
UUCUCCUCCCACUCACACUGAAAAGCUUGGGAGCCCUAAAAGGGUGUUGAUGGCGGGGGUGAUAAAUAAAUAAAUAAAUGACACUCUACGCGUGCGGUGGCGGAGAAAGGAGGGGGAGGGAGAGGCAAAGCGAGGAGAGGGAAGAGAAAAAGUAGGGAGAAGAGAAGCAGGAGGAGAAAGCUCCGAGGCGAAAGGGAAACAGUAGUCAAAGCAAGAAGAGAAAGAAGAAAGGAGAGAGGAGGACGGUUGAAAGCUUCUAUUACUGCUGGGUUUUGGAGGCUGUGAUAAAAUCUUCAUCGACGUGAAGACUCACCUCGAGCGACCGUGAUAGAGAGCUCCCGAACCGGCCGCGGGGGGACCUGGCUCCUCCCUCCCGUCCCAGGAGAAGAGGACAAAAAGGGGAGAUGGACUUGGAGAUGGCCCCGCCCUUCAAACGCUCCAAUCCUUGGAAACUAAACCUCCUCUCCAAGCCUCCACGUCUAGAAGGGACAAAGGCAGCGAGGAGAUCCAGAGACCGAUGGGGGAGAUAGGUGGCUUUCGGCCUUCUCAAGUGGGUGCUUUGGGCGAAAGGUACAAUGGCUGAGUUUCCAUUCCAAAUACAGGAUAGUCUUUAGAAGACCAUCUUCUGGUUUAGAAGCAAAUUGACUUCCCAAAGCCGUGAAGCAAACUACUGCAAAACUCCCGCAUAGCCCUGCUUUUUGAAUGUGGAGGGCUAAAAUUUCAGUUAACGAUGCCAUACACAAAUUUUUCGACUUUCUUUGAAGUCACAAGUGUCUUAACUAUCCAUCCGAAAUAAUUGAAAGAAAUUAACAUGAAAGAAAUAAACAUGGUGGGGGAGUGGGCUUUUUGUUUGCCUGCUUGUUUUUAU